RNAcentral lists this ribosomal RNA (766 nucleotides) under Staphylococcus epidermidis. RNAcentral's name for it is "bacterial SSU rRNA". It matches the Rfam family "Bacterial small subunit ribosomal RNA", at positions 28 to 776 of the family's 1533-position model. Lineage: Bacteria; Bacillati; Bacillota; Bacilli; Caryophanales; Staphylococcaceae. The record is from RNAcentral.
GAUGAACGCUGGCGGCGUGCCUAAUACAUGCAAGUCGAGCGAACAGACGAGGAGCUUGCUCCUCUGACGUUAGCGGCGGACGGGUGAGUAACACGUGGAUAACCUACCUAUAAGACUGGGAUAACUUCGGGAAACCGGAGCUAAUACCGGAUAACAUGUUGAACCGCAUGGUUCAACAGUGAAAGACGGUCUUGCUGUCACUUAUAGAUGGAUCCGCGCCGCAUUAGCUAGUUGGUAAGGUAACGGCUUACCAAGGCAACGAUGCGUAGCCGACCUGAGAGGGUGAUCGGCCACACUGGAACUGAGACACGGUCCAAACUCCUACGGGAGGCAGCAGUAGGGAAUCUUCCGCAAUGGGCGAAAGCCUGACGGAGCAACGCCGCGUGAGUGAAGAAGGUCUUCGGAUCGUAAAACUCUGUUAUUAGGGAAGAACAAAUGUGUAAGUAACUAUGCACGUCUUGACGGUACCUAAUCAGAAAGCCACGGCUAACUACGUGCCAGCAGCCGCGGUAAUACGUAGGUGGCAAGCGUUAUCCGGAAUUAUUGGGCGUAAAGCGCGCGUAGGCGGUUUUUUAAGUCUGAUGUGAAAGCCCACGGCUCAACCGUGGAGGGUCAUUGGAAACUGGAAAACUUGAGUGCAGAAGAGGAAAGUGGAAUUCCAUGUGUAGCGGUGAAAUGCGCAGAGAUAUGGAGGAACACCAGUGGCGAAGGCGACUUUCUGGUCUGUAACUGACGCUGAUGUGCGAAAGCGUGGGGAUCAAACAGG